AGAAUCAACGCUGGCGGCGUGCCUAACACAUGCAAGUCGAACGAGAAAGUGGAGCAAUCCAUGAGUAAAGUGGCGACCGGGUGAGUAACACGUGACUAACCUACCUUCGAGUGGGGGAUAACCUAGGGAAACCUGGGCUAAUACCGCAUAACAUCUUUGGAUCGGAAGAACUGGAGAUCAAAGGGGCAAUUCGCUUGAAGAGGGGGUCGCGGCUGAUUAGCUAGUUGGCGGGGUAAUGGCCCACCAAGGCUUUGAUCGGUA
Molecule: ribosomal RNA, 261 nt
Filed under: uncultured bacterium
Lineage: Bacteria
Description: partial small subunit ribosomal RNA
Rfam family: Bacterial small subunit ribosomal RNA
Source: RNAcentral